CUAAAAACAUCAUUUACAUAAUCGCAUCUGAAUAAUUCAAUUCUAAAAAUUAAUUCUUAUUUCUUAAGAAAGUGAUAACAGAGCGUGAUUAAAGGGCAAUGAUGAAAAAUAUCUUAAUAUAGAGUAGCAUGCCUAUGGACGUCUAUAAGCAUUGUUACAAGAUCAAUUAUUAUGAUAAACAUAUUAAAUUCAAAACUAAAAUUCAAAUUUUUCAACACGUAAAAGACAAAAUGAAAUAAUAAUGUAAGAAAAAUAAAGUCGCUCAAAAUUUUUGUCAAAAUCACUAUAAAGCUGGUAAAUGACAAGUUUUGGCAAAUGACAAAGUUUUUACACUGAAUUUUUUUUUUUACAAGUCGUCGUCAGGCACUCUAGAAAUUUUAAAUAACAGAUUCCCUUGUCAUUGUUAUAUAAUCAGGAACUGGAAGUUUUAUAUAAACCUGAUACACGAUGUUGUUGAAGACAUUUUGGAAUUACCUCAGCCAAGAUGUACUUCGUUGCAGCUGUUUUUGUUACAAGUACUUAAAGAUAGUUUAUAGAAACAACGUUAUCUUCAAAUUAUAUUUCGCAGACUUUGCACACCGUUUAGCAAGGUUCAAUUCAAUAAAAAAAAAAACUAUGUAAUUUUAUUAUUUUAUUAGACUUAAAUUGAUAAAUGAAGUUGA
Non-coding RNA from Hydra vulgaris (swiftwater hydra), 662 nucleotides. The record is from RefSeq and is a predicted model, not a curated record. Lineage: Eukaryota; Metazoa; Cnidaria; Hydrozoa; Anthoathecata; Hydridae.